This 381-nucleotide ribosomal RNA is filed under the name Triticum aestivum (bread wheat). RNAcentral's name for it is "partial small subunit ribosomal RNA". The record is from RNAcentral. Lineage: Eukaryota; Viridiplantae; Streptophyta; Magnoliopsida; Poales; Poaceae.
AUGGCGGACACAGAUCACGCCGCAACUGCGGGGCGCCGGCGUCUUCCACUACGUCGACGGCACGUCCACCGAGCCGGCCAAAACCCACAUCACCAAAGAUGCUGCUGGGAAGGAAACCGAGGGGCCAAAUCCUCUUCAUCCAAUUUGGGUGAGGGAGGACCAGCAGGUCCUGGGAUACCUGCUCCAAAACCUCUCAAAGGAGGUGCUCGUCACGGUGACCGCGAUCACCACGGCGAGGGAACUCUGGGUGGCGCUGGCGAGCAUGUUCUCGUCGCAGUCACUCAGCCGCGUCAACAACAUCCGUACAGCGCUGAUCAAUGCGCAGAAGGGCAACCAAUCGGUGGCCGCCUACUUCGCCGCCAUGAGGGGCCUCGCCGAUGA